ACUAUUUUGGCAGAUAAGUGCGUUAGAUUUAGAAUCUAUUAAUGUAAGGUUACUUUACAGGUAGUA
This 66-nucleotide transfer RNA is filed under the name Bulbitermes singaporiensis. RNAcentral's name for it is "tRNA-Leu". Lineage: Eukaryota; Metazoa; Arthropoda; Insecta; Blattodea; Termitidae. The record is from RNAcentral.